RNAcentral lists this ribosomal RNA (495 nucleotides) under uncultured bacterium. RNAcentral describes it as "bacterial SSU rRNA". It matches the Rfam family "Bacterial small subunit ribosomal RNA", at positions 28 to 526 of the family's 1533-position model. The record is from RNAcentral.
GAUGAACGCUAGCGGCAGGCCUAACACAUGCAAGUCGAGGGGUAAGGUAGCAAUAUCUGAGACCGGCGCACGGGUGCGUAACGCGUAUGCAAUCUACCUUUUACAGAGGGAUAGCCCAGAGAACUUUGGAUUAAUACCUCAUAGCAUAGCAGCUUCGCAUGAAGUCACUCUUAAAGUUCCAACGGUAAAAGAUGAGCAUGCGUCCUAUUAGCUAGAUGGUAAGGUAACGGCUUACCAUGGCUACGAUAGGUAGGGGUCCUGAGAGGGAGAUCCCCCACACUGGUACUGAGACACGGACCAGACUCCUACGGGAGGCAGCAGGGAGGAAUAUUGGACAAUGUGCGCAAGCCUGAUCCAGCCAUGCCGCGUGCAGGAAGACGCAUCUAUGGUGUGUAAACUGCUUUUGUACGGGAAGAAACCCUCCUACGUGUAGGAGCUUGACGGUACCGUAAGAAUAAGGAUCGGCUAACUCCGUGCCAGCAGCCGCCGUAACAC